Long non-coding RNA from Marmota monax (woodchuck), 2725 nucleotides. RefSeq lists it as uncharacterized. The transcript is spliced from 3 exons. The record is from RefSeq and is a predicted model, not a curated record. NCBI's taxonomy places the organism in Eukaryota, Metazoa, Chordata, Mammalia, Rodentia, Sciuridae.
CAAAGAACAAAGGCCUCCCACCUCACACAGUUGUAGGGGCUCAGAGAGUCAAAAAUUCAAUGACCCUCAGCAGAGUGCUGGGGUUAUGAGGACAGACCCAGAAGGCAGGCCACCUGCCUUUCAGUGUUGAGAUGGAGUUAGGCUGGCCUAAACUCCUAGGUUCCCAUGAUCCUCUGUCUCAACCUCCCAAGUAGCUGGGAACACAAGUGUGUCCCCAGCUUCCACUCCACCAGCCUUUUAAAAUGCCAAUUUUGCCACCUUCUGCUUCUGUCACCCUGGGCCGGUUAACUUUUCUGGACCUCAAUUUUUCACCUGUACAAUGGAAUGACAAUACUAUACUGAUGUCCAAAGCUGGUUGUGAGGAUUAGAUGACUUAAGUGCUUAGCCCAUAACGGGCAUCUCCCUAUGUGUCAGCUUCUAUUCCCAAUUUGCUUGUGUGAUUAUCCCCUCCCCCCUAAGUCUCUCAAAAGAUAGGAAGCUGUCUGCCAGUCCUCCCGGCCCGUUAGUCAUCUUCUUUCACUCUGACUUAGGAGUCCUUAUGCAGCUAUCUAGGUCAUCCCCCCAAGACACAUGACACACACUGGUCAGCAGAGCGGCCUCAGACACAGAAAAAAGUUUAAUUCUGCUGCGGCGGAGGGUCCCGGCUCCGGUCCCUCCCCUCAAAAGAGGAGGAGUAUAGAGAAGUGGCUAAAAGCCAACCAAACCUGGGAGCCAGACUGCCUGGUUUUGAUAUCUCCUCUGCCCCUUACCAGCUCUGUCACCUCAGGCCUCUGAGUGGCUCACCAGGGACUGGAACCACACCUUCCUCCACCUGGGACCAUGCGAAACAGCUGCAACACUGCUGAAAGGCCCUGCCCAUCUCCAGGAGCUGCAUACCUCUCCAAGGCCCUCUUCCCCUCCAGCAGGGCCACCUUCUGGUCCUGAAGCCCCACCCCCAGUCAUCCUGCCUCCCAGGGCCCACCACCAUGAGCCACCCUCCCACCCAAAGACUUCAAGUAUGGCCACACCCCCAAAAGGGCCAUCUCUCCCACUUUUGCAGACCAGUGCCAGCCCAGCCAACACCCUUGGCCUCUGGCUUUAAGUCUCCCUUGUCCCUCCUCAUCUCCUGUCUUUGAGCCUUGGAUUCCUCUUGCUUCUUCCCCUAAAUAACCAGUUGCUAGGGGCUCCCCCCUUUUCAAGGACAGAGGCGGGCUCCUUAAGGAAGCUUGGGCCCAUGUGUCUCUAAUUGGCUGCAAGACCAGAGCAAGCAGCUGAGCAGGCUUCUGGUUGGAUGUCACCUCCACCCAUGGCGGCAGUGAGGAAGUUAACCCCUGCAGUGCCACAGUGCAGGCAUCUGCAAUGGAGUUCCUGAAUGAAGAACAGGAACUGAGGCCCUAAGGAGAAGAGAAAAGUCCCCAGCUGAGGACAGGGGACCAUCAACAUCAGUAUAUAUUCAAGGUUUGGGGCCUUGAACCUUCCCCCAUCCUGCCAGAUGGUAGCCAUGGGUCAAAAAGAAGCAAAGAAACAGGUGGAGACUCACAAAAACUGAGUCAUUUACAGAAAUGUAUUAUCCACCUCCCCUCCACCCUGCCUGGCAAACAGUAGGUGUUCAGUAAGUGUGUGUCUGCAUAAAAAGGACAGCUCUGCUAUUCCUGUGUGACCAAGGGGAAGUGCCUUUCUCCAUUGAGCCUCAGUUUCUCUGUUAUAAAAUGAGGAGAGGGCAGGGGGGGCAUGGCAGAGCACUUGCAUCACAAUCAGGCCACCUGGCAUCACAAUCCCCAGCACCACAAAAAAAUCAGCAAAUCAAAUCAAAUCAGCUUUGCAACAGAGCUGGGAGUCAGCUGCCAGCUCUGGAGGUGUCUUAUGAAGCUCUUUGUCUCAUUCAUUGUCUACUCUUGGGACACUGGGCCAGUCUAUCUCAGUGGGCCCUGGGACCAGCACAGGAUCUGACACACAGUAGGCAUUUACUCAGUGUUUGGUGACCAGAAUUGAGACAAAAAUGAGGAAACCAGACAAGGGGAAAGAGAGGCAUGUAUGCAUGCAGCCAACAGUGGGAAUAGGCCUGCUCCAUGCCAAGACCGUGGCCCAGAGAGCCAGGCGAGGAUGGGGAGCAAAAGACAGGCCUUUCCGGGAAGUUUCCGCAUUCCCAACAGCCGGGGCUACCCACAGUAGGGAAUGGCUUUGGCCACUGUGGCAUCCACAAGUACAGUUAAGCGCGAGGCAGGCACUCAGCAGCCCCUCUGCAGUGUGCACGAGGGAGAAGCAUCUGUGAAGCCAUCGGCUGUUCAUGAGUGCCCACUGUGUGCCCAUCUGUAGCCAAGAGUCAUACUGAAAACUACCCCGAUGGAGAGACACUGCGGGGCCAUGACAGUGAUUUGUGGUGCAUGUAGGGCCCUGAGGGCAAGGACUGGAUCUCUUGGUCUCCUUGGGUCCCCAGCACCCAGGUCAGGGCCUAGCACAGAGCAAAGUCUAAGUGCCUUCAUGAGGAGAGAGAGAAGGUAGAGCAGAUGGAGAGAUUCAAGCAGGGAAGUAGGAGACAAUGGGAGGAAGUAACUCCUUUGUCUGUCCAUGCCGUCACACCAGGACAGUGACUUCCAACCCACGGGAGGGUGGAAAUAACUUAUAUUUUUGUCAUGCACUUUGUUUUCUAGGCUGGGGUUGUAGCUCAGUGGUAGAGCGUUGCCUAGAAUGUGUAAGGCACUGGGUUCAAUUCUCAGCACCACAUAUAAAUAAAAUAAAAGUCCAU